RNAcentral lists this transfer RNA (72 nucleotides) under Fukomys damarensis (Damara mole-rat). It matches the Rfam family "tRNA". From Rfam's summary of the family: Transfer RNA (tRNA) molecules are approximately 80 nucleotides in length. Their secondary structure includes four short double-helical elements and three loops (D, anti-codon, and T loops). Further hydrogen bonds mediate the characteristic L-shaped molecular structure. tRNAs have two regions of fundamental functional importance: the anti-codon, which is responsible for specific mRNA codon recognition, and the 3' end, to which the tRNAs corresponding amino acid is attached (by aminoacyl-tRNA synthetases). tRNAs cope with the degeneracy of the genetic code in two manners: having more than one tRNA (with a specific anti-codon) for a particular amino acid; and 'wobble' base-pairing, i.e. permitting non-standard base-pairing at the 3rd anti-codon position. Lineage: Eukaryota; Metazoa; Chordata; Mammalia; Rodentia; Bathyergidae. The record is from Rfam by way of RNAcentral.
GGGGGUGUAGCUCAGUGGUGCGGCACCUGCCUGGCAAGCUUGAGGCCCUGAGUUUGAUUCCCACUAGCCCCA